This 25-nucleotide non-coding RNA is filed under the name Mus musculus (house mouse). Lineage: Eukaryota; Metazoa; Chordata; Mammalia; Rodentia; Muridae. The record is from RNAcentral.
ACUGGCUCUUGAUGGUUUGUGCUGU